Molecule: ribosomal RNA, 485 nt
Filed under: uncultured bacterium
Lineage: Bacteria
Description: partial 16S ribosomal RNA
Rfam family: Bacterial small subunit ribosomal RNA
Source: RNAcentral
GACGAACGCUGGCGGCGUGCUUAACACAUGCAAGUCGAACGGUGAAAGCGGAGCUUGCUCCGCUGGAUCAGUGGCGAACGGGUGAGUAACACGUGGGCAACCUGCCCCUCACUUCGGGAUAACUCCGGGAAACCGGGGCUAAUACCGGAUAUGACCUCCUUGGGCAUCCUUGGAGGUGGAAAGUCUUUCGGUGAGGGAUGGGCCCGCGGCCUAUCAGCUUGUUGGUGAGGUAGUGGCGCACCAAGGCGACGACGGGUAGCCGGCCUGAGAGGGCGACCGGCCACACUGGGACUGAGACACGGCCCAGACUCCUACGGGAGGCAGCAGUGGGGAAUAUUGCGCAAUGGGCGAAAGCCUGACGCAGCAACGCCGCGUGCGGGAUGACGGCCUUCGGGUUGUAAACCGCUUUCAGCAGGGAAGAAGCCGCAAGGUGACGGUACCUGCAGAAGAAGCACCGGCUAACUACGUGCCAGCCGCCGCGGUAA